Molecule: long non-coding RNA, 1355 nt
Organism: Daphnia pulex (common water flea)
Lineage: Eukaryota; Metazoa; Arthropoda; Branchiopoda; Diplostraca; Daphniidae
Exons: 6
Source: RefSeq, a predicted model, not a curated record
CAAAAAUGGCGGUGGUCUUGCGUAGCGAAGACUAUCAGUUUUAAAUGUGAAACAUAGAUGGCGAUGAAACUUGUAAUUUAGUCUGCUGGCUAAAAAAGAGAGUAAAAAAAAAGUCGAAUAUAAUGUCUGCAAUUGUUGUUCGCGUUUUCCGUAAUUUUCAGCAGUUUGAGUCAAUUAGACGCAUUUCUAAUUAUCCCGCAUCAUUUCGUAAAAAUGAAGAAAUUCAAAAUGUGAAAGGAGAAGACGAAUUCCGUUCGCUGGAUCUGAGUGCAAACAAGUCGUUGAAUAUGAGAUCUUACGGACGUAAAGUAUACAAGAGAGCAGCAGUUCACGUUUCAACAUAACGCGCUUUUGAUGAAGACUGGCCCUCUAGUUUGGCCCGUUGCCAGGUCUUUCCAUCCAGCUAGCGUCCUGCUGCCCUUGCAUCAGGGCUAGGUUGUUCCGUGUGCAACACCACCUGGUAAAUUUGCUAAUGCAGAGUUAAUGAAGAUCCCCAACUUUCUUCACUUGACAGUUGACACCACCCGCUUUUGAGAGACAUUGCCAAGCAUUGAAAAAGUUCUGCACAGAGUGCUGUAAGAGUUGGAUAUCAAAGAAAAGAUUGAAAAUUGUUUACCCAUCACAAUGCCGAGCCAGAAUUGUAACACUCCAGGUGAAAUUGAGCUCUUUGAAAUUGGACAACCAUGCCAAGGAUAAAUUCCUCUUUUUCCUGUACCGGCUGUAUGUUUUGUAAGAAACACUUCAGAACUAUUCAGGAUUAUCAGUCUGGUAAAAGUAUGAGCUUCUUUGUUGCUGCCCAACGUACACAACGUACACAUGGACUUGAUGCAGCCAGCCGAGGGCUUUAACUCUUGUUUAGUGUUUUAUGUUCGCGUUGUUGCUGUCUGAUGUGGUACGUUGUUGAAGCCUAUUCUGGUGAAAGAAUUUUCUACAUCAAGUUCAAUUGGCCGUUCCUUGGUGCUGGUGUUGUGUUACCGAAGUUGCAUCAUAUUUUGUUAAAUUGUCAUCGUGACUAUUGCAGUUUACCAUUUAUAAGUUCAGAAGCAACAAAAACAAAUAUGGGAUGUUCAUGUCAAACAAAUAAUAAACAUGUUUUUGGGGUUGGGAAAGGAAAGUGGUGGAUGUUGGAGGGGGGAUAUUUCAAGUUUGGAUAAAAAUGCAGUGAAUCUAUAACCCUACAAAUGUAUCCCUACCCAUUAAUCUCCAAAUCCCACAAACACAUACCUUCCAAUCCUUCAAACCGCGAAAACAUACACCUACCGACCAUUAAAUCUAUACCCUUAACCCUAUAAACCAAUAUUUAACCUUAACCAUGUAAUAUAAUAAAUAAAAUAAAUACACUUUAUGAACUAAUU